RNAcentral lists this ribosomal RNA (712 nucleotides) under uncultured bacterium. RNAcentral's name for it is "bacterial SSU rRNA". It matches the Rfam family "Bacterial small subunit ribosomal RNA", at positions 786 to 1498 of the family's 1533-position model. The record is from RNAcentral.
CCUGGUAGUCCACGCCGUAAACGAUGUCGACUUGGAGGCUGUUUCCUUGAGAAGUGGCUUCCGGAGCUAACGCGUUAAGUCGACCGCCUGGGGAGUACGGCCGCAAGGUUAAAACUCAAAUGAAUUGACGGGGGCCCGCACAAGCGGUGGAGCAUGUGGUUUAAUUCGAUGCAACGCGAAGAACCUUACCUACUCUUGACAUCCACGGAAUUUGGCAGAGAUGCCUUAGUGCCUUCGGGAACCGUGAGACAGGUGCUGCAUGGCUGUCGUCAGCUCGUGUUGUGAAAUGUUGGGUUAAGUCCCGCAACGAGCGCAACCCUUAUCCUUUGUUGCCAGCGAUUCGGUCGGGAACUCAAAGGAGACUGCCGGUGAUAAACCGGAGGAAGGUGGGGAUGACGUCAAGUCAUCAUGGCCCUUACGAGUAGGGCUACACACGUGCUACAAUGGCGCAUACAAAGAGAAGCGACCUCGCGAGAGCAAGCGGACCUCAUAAAGUGCGUCGUAGUCCGGAUCGGAGUCUGCAACUCGACUCCGUGAAGUCGGAAUCGCUAGUAAUCGUGGAUCAGAAUGCCACGGUGAAUACGUUCCCGGGCCUUGUACACACCGCCCGUCACACCAUGGGAGUGGGUUGCAAAAGAAGUAGGUAGCUUAACCUUCGGGAGGGCGCUUACCACUUUGUGAUUCAUGACUGGGGUGAAGUCGUAACAAGGUA